CCCUUAGAUGUUCGGGGCCGCACGCGCGCUACACUGACGAAGGCAACGAGCUUUCCUUUACCGAAAGGUACGGGUAAUCUUUUGAAACUUCGUCGUGCUGGGGAUAGAUCCUUGCAAUUUUUGAUCUUAAACGAGGAAUGCCUAGUAAGCGCAAGUCAUCAACUUGCGUUGAUUACGUCCCUGCCCUUUGUACACACCGCCCGUCGCUACUACCGAUUGAAUGGUUUAGUGAGGCCUUCGGAUCCGCGACUCGUUUUGUGGAGAAGUUGGACAAACUCAGUCAUUUAGAGGAAGUAAAAGUCGUAACA
This 308-nucleotide ribosomal RNA is filed under the name uncultured eukaryote. RNAcentral describes it as "partial 18S ribosomal RNA". It matches the Rfam family "Eukaryotic small subunit ribosomal RNA", at positions 1470 to 1796 of the family's 1831-position model. The record is from RNAcentral.